This is a non-coding RNA of Nicotiana sylvestris (wood tobacco), 105 nucleotides long. The record is from Rfam. NCBI's taxonomy places the organism in Eukaryota, Viridiplantae, Streptophyta, Magnoliopsida, Solanales, Solanaceae.
UGGACAGAUUAUUGUAUUCAAGUAUAUUCGACUGUAUUCGUGGCGUAAACAUGGGAAUACACUGUUUUUAAACGAAAAGUGAAUCAAUUAACAUAAUAGACUCCU